AGCGAACGUUAGCGGCGGGCCUAACACAUGCAAGUCGAGCGAGAAAGUGGCUUCGGCCAUCAGUAGAGCGGCGGACGGGUGAGUAACAUGUAGGUAAUCUUCCCUUGAGCGGGGGACAACGAGCCGAAAGGCUCGCUAAUACCGCAUACGUUCCCAGAGACCUCGGUCUUUGGGAGGAAAGCUAGGUAGCAAUAUCCGGCACUCGAGGAGGAGCCUGCGUCGCAUCAGCUAGUUGGUGGGGUAACGGCCUACCAAGGCGAAGACGCGUAGCUGGUCUGAGAGGAUGAUCAGCCACACUGAAACUGAGACACGGUUCAGACUCCUACGGGAGGCAGCAGUGGGGAAUAUUGGACAAUGGGCGCAAGCCUGAUCCAGCCACGCCGCGUGAGUGAUGAAGGCCUUCGGGUCGUAAAGCUCUGUGGGGAGGGACGAACCGCUGUCGGUUAAUACCCGGCAGCAUGACGGUACCUCCUUAGCAAGCACCGGCUAACUUCGUGCCAGCCGCCGCAGUAA
RNAcentral lists this ribosomal RNA (513 nucleotides) under uncultured bacterium. RNAcentral describes it as "partial 16S ribosomal RNA". It matches the Rfam family "Bacterial small subunit ribosomal RNA", at positions 29 to 523 of the family's 1533-position model. The record is from RNAcentral.